This 549-nucleotide ribosomal RNA is filed under the name Epicoccum sp. Liaoning-Rsfb005. Its description in RNAcentral is "eukaryotic LSU rRNA". The stretch from base 176 to 329 matches the Rfam family "5.8S ribosomal RNA". Lineage: Eukaryota; Fungi; Ascomycota; Dothideomycetes; Pleosporales; Didymellaceae. The record is from RNAcentral.
CUUCCGUAGGGUGACCUGCGGAAGGAUCAUUACCUAGAGUUUGCAGACUUCGGUCUGCUACCUCUUACCCAUGUCUUUUGAGUACCUUCGUUUCCUCGGCGGGUCCGCCCGCCGGUUGGACAACAUUCAAACCCUUUGCAGUUGCAAUCAGCGUCUGAAAAAACAUAAUAGUUACAACUUUCAACAACGGAUCUCUUGGUUCUGGCAUCGAUGAAGAACGCAGCGAAAUGCGAUAAGUAGUGUGAAUUGCAGAAUUCAGUGAAUCAUCGAAUCUUUGAACGCACAUUGCGCCCCUUGGUAUUCCAUGGGGCAUGCCUGUUCGAGCGUCAUUUGUACCUUCAAGCUCUGCUUGGUGUUGGGUGUUUUGUCUCGCCUCCGCGUGUAGACUCGCCUUAAAACAAUUGGCAGCCGGCGUAUUGAUUUCGGAGCGCAGUACAUCUCGCGCUUUGCACUCAUAACGACGACGUCCAAAAGUACAUUUUUACACUCUUGACCUCGGAUCAGGUAGGGAUACCCGCUGAACUUAAGCAUAUCAAAAGCCCGGAGGAA